Molecule: ribosomal RNA, 215 nt
Filed under: Campeiostachys nutans
Lineage: Eukaryota; Viridiplantae; Streptophyta; Magnoliopsida; Poales; Poaceae
Description: Elymus nutans partial small subunit ribosomal RNA
Rfam family: Eukaryotic small subunit ribosomal RNA (bases 37-215)
Source: RNAcentral
GGAUCAGAUUGUUGGUCGUGCCUCGGUACGUACUGGUAUUACUGGUUCCUACCUUCUGAAGAACCGCGAUGUCAUUAAUUUGGUGUCGUGGGGAAUCAGGACUGUUACUUUGAAAAAAUUAGAGUGUUUAAAGCAGGCCUACGCCUGAAUACAUUAGCAUGGAAUAAUGAAAUAGGACGUUUGAUUCAAUUUUGUUGGUUUCUAGGAUCGACGUA